UACGGGGGGGGCAAGCGUUGUUCGGAAUUACUGGGCGUAAAGGGUCUGUAGGUGGCUUGCUAAGUCAGACGUGAAAUCCCUCAGCUUAACCGGGGAACCGCAUCUGAUACUGGAUGGCUUGAGUUCGGGAGAGGGAUGCGGAAUUCCAGGUGUAGCGGUGAAAUGCGUAGAUAUCUGGAGGAAUACCGGUGGCGAAGGCGGCAUCCUGGACCGGAAUUGACACUGAGGAGCGAAAGCCAGGGGAGCAAACGGG
This 253-nucleotide ribosomal RNA is filed under the name uncultured bacterium. RNAcentral describes it as "partial 16S ribosomal RNA". It matches the Rfam family "Bacterial small subunit ribosomal RNA", at positions 524 to 776 of the family's 1533-position model. The record is from RNAcentral.